GACGAACGCUGGCGGCGUGCUUAACACAUGCAAGUCGAACGGAAAGGCCCUGCUUUUGUGGGGUGCUCGAGUGGCGAACGGGUGAGUAACACGUGAGUAACCUGCCCUUGACGUUGGGAUAACUUCAUGAAACUUGGGCUAAUACCGGAUAGGAGCUCCUGCUGCAUGGUGGGGGUGGGAAAGUUUCGGCGGUUGGGGAUGGACUCGCGGCUUAUCGGCUUGUUGGUGGGGUAGUGGCUUACCAAGGCUUUGACGGGUAGCCGGCCUGAGAGGGUGACCGGCCACAUUGGGACUGAGAUACGGCCCAGCCUCCUCCGGGAGGCAGCAGUGGGGAAUAUUGCACAAUGGGCGGAAGCCUGAUGCAGCAACGCCGCGUGCGGGAUGACGGCCUUCGGGUUGUAAACCGCUUUCGCCUGUGACGAAGCGUGAGUGACGGUAAUGGGUAAAGAAGCACCGGCUAACUCCGUG
This 468-nucleotide ribosomal RNA is filed under the name uncultured bacterium. Its description in RNAcentral is "partial 16S ribosomal RNA". It matches the Rfam family "Bacterial small subunit ribosomal RNA", at positions 28 to 507 of the family's 1533-position model. The record is from RNAcentral.